AUGGAUCGCGAGGGCUUCUAUUUUAUCAAUGUUCAAUUUGUAACCGGAUACCGUUGUGUAGUCUUGUAUGGCCAGGAGGAGUGGGGGCAUGGAGUUAAUUGGGUCUGUGAUGGUGAGUAGUAUAUCGUCUGCAUAGACCGCAGCCUUAUAUUCCUCUGUCCGGAUUUUGAGCCCUGUGAGUGAGUUGUGUUGCCUGAGCGUUUGCAGGAGGGACUCCAGUCUGUUUAUU
Molecule: non-coding RNA, 229 nt
Organism: Pelobates cultripes (western spadefoot toad)
Lineage: Eukaryota; Metazoa; Chordata; Amphibia; Anura; Pelobatidae
Source: the annotation of a GenBank genome assembly